This is a long non-coding RNA of Bicyclus anynana (squinting bush brown), 2634 nucleotides long. RefSeq lists it as uncharacterized. The transcript is spliced from 7 exons. NCBI's taxonomy places the organism in Eukaryota, Metazoa, Arthropoda, Insecta, Lepidoptera, Nymphalidae. The record is from RefSeq and is a predicted model, not a curated record.
AGUCACGACAACAAAUGGCAGCGAUUUUUCGUUUUUGCGAUCAUGUAACAUAGAUCUUCCACCGAAAUGACGUCAUCUUGGAUCGUUCUCUGUCACGGUCACUUGUAGGGAUUUAUUCAAGUUUUAGGCCUGUUUUUACGUAUCGAUAGUCAGUUUAAGCGAUUAUGUAAGCAUUGUGAUCAUAGAAAUAGGUGACACUGAAGUUGUCAAAGUCAAUCGCUAUAGAAACUAAUAGAGAGCAGUGUUUUAACAAAGUUUACUUGACGCCUGUGAUUCAUUAUUUACAAAUAAAAGGACUUUUAGGAUUUUUUUGAAUUUUGUACUAUAAAGUGUUUACUGACAUCGCCGUGUCCUACAUGCAUUUGUAUUGUACGCGGAAACGGAUCUAAAAGGAUGACUUUGCAUGCUGAGAUCCACAGAGAUCUAAGUGAUCCAUUACAGCUUUGUGAGACCGAGUUCAUUGCAAAACUUUCGUGUCGCGAUACCAGCAGGUUUUAGAAGAAAUACAAAGUCUUCGAACAACUGCUGUUCGCAAUAAACUAGAGGUCUUGGCAGCUUUAAGCAUUUAUGCCAAUGGAUCAUACAAAUGUCUCUAUGAUGGCUAAGGCAUCUUUUACCAAAUGCCUACAUGAGUCACUGACGCUCCUGAAUACCCCAGCUGUUUAAAAAAAAUGUGUUAAGUUCCCUUUGCAUUAAACACAAAAUCAUUAUAAAUAAAUAUGUGAUGCCAAUCUAAUAAUAACAUAGUGGAUGCUCAAUUUGGUGGUGUAUCAUAUGACUUGUACAUGUGGAACCAGUGCAAUAAAACCACUUGAGGAAAACCUGCCCAAUAGAGACUGCUGUUGGUUGUUAGGUGACCAAUGUUUGCAUGAUGACCCCCAUCUUGGGAGCUGCUCCUAGAUCCCAUUAAGAUAUGCACAACAUUGCUGUGUCAGAAAUACGGUGGAGCCUUGUAGUUGGGUGCAUAUUGUAAAAUGUUUCCUCACUCCAAAACCAUGAACUCUGGUUUCCUAAACCCUCAAGCUAUGCAGCCGAAGGAGGAGACUUAUCACAGGAGAAUCACUAAUAAUUUUGAAGAAGUGAAGAGCUUAACAAUGUUUCAACCAACACCUAAAGAAGCUUUCACUUGGCUGUUAGAUCAAGGGCUGGAUACAGAAAACAGUAAUCCUUGUGAUGGCAGUAUUGUCCAAGGAUUCCUCACUCAAAACCAUGAUAACAAGUUGCUAGAACCCUCAAGCUAUGCAGACAAAGGACUGGAUAUAUUUUUUCGUGACCAAGCCUUCUGUAUAAUUAUUUAUACUUAAACCAUACAAAGCACUAUCUAGCCCCAAAGUAGGCAUACAGAGUAGCUUGUGUUGUGGGUACUAAGAUAGUUGAUAUUAUAAUAUUCAUUUACAUUUAUAUACUACCUAUAAAUACUUAUAUAAUGUAUAAAUACACACACACUGGAAAAAACCCAUGCUCUUCACACAAAUAUUUUCCAGGUGUGGGAAUCGAACCCAUGACCGUGGAUGCAGGAGCACUACUUACUGCGCCACGCGUAUGUGUUUUUAUUUUGAAGCAAAUUAUUAAAGUUGAUAAUUCAAAUUGUAGUCAUGUUUUUAAUUAAUCUAUAAUUAAUUUUUAAUUUACAUUUUUGUUAAAUAUUUACCUAUACUUCAGUCUAUUUUUGUUAGAGGGGGUACCUAUAUGUGUAAGUAGGGUCGUUUCUUGAUUAAAUUAAACUAAAGAAUGAAAGAUAUAUAUUAUAACAAAAUUUGUCAACAACAAUAUAUCAAGUCUGAAUAAAAAAUACCAACACAAGUAAAUAUAUUUUUUAUUUUUAAAUAAUAGAUGUUACACAAAUAUAGAGUAUCUACUUUAACUACCUGGCCCUACCUGCUUAACAUUAAACAACAUUGUUUUUAAUCAAAUCAUUAUUUAUUUAUUUCCUACAAUGUGGUAGGUACAUGUUUUGUUCUUAAAAUUAUUGAAUUGUAUAGAUAAACAACUAAUGUAGUAUUCAAUUUUUUCUUUUACAAUUACUUAAAUAAUCAUCAUCAUCAUCAUCAUCAUCAUCAUCAUCAUUAUAAACACAUAUUCGGCUCACUGCUGAGCUCGAGUCUCCCCCAGUAAGAGGGGUUAGUGCCUACCCGCACUCGGGAGACCCCGCACUGGAAAGCGUGGUUGGUCGGUUGGUUGGAUGUUCGCGGCUCAAGGUCGUUGUGCUUGGAGGUCCAUGUAAGAGGUCUAUGUCCAGCAGUGGACGUCUAUCGGCUGAUAAGGUAAGGGAAGGCCAAUGCCUAACCCCUCUCAUUCUGACAGGAGCCUAAUAUGGGCCAGCAUAUUUGGAUUACAUUGGCAGACAUCACAUAUGCAGAGAAUUAAGAGAAUUCUCUGGUAUGCAGGUUUCCUCACGAUGUUUUCCUUCACUGUUUGAGACACGUCACAUUCACUGGGCUAUUAGGGAUAAUAAUAAUAGUUAAAUAAUAUUUCCUCCUAAUAAUAGAUAAUAAAACAUAUUUUGAUGUGCAAUUUUACAAUAAAAUUUUUAUCUAAUACUAUGUAAUACUGAAAUUAACCAAAUGAUAAUAAUCAUAUUCUUUAUAUACAGUGAUGUCAUAAUUAACUAUAUUAAAUUAAAAUGAAAUUAUA